UUCGGGUUGUAAAGUACUUUCAGCAGUGAGGAAGGUGGGUAUGUUAAUAGCAUACUCAUUUGACGUUAGCUGCAGAAGAAGCACCGGCUAACUCCGUGCCAGCAGCCGCGGUAAUACGGAGGGUGCGAGCGUUAAUCGGAAUUACUGGGCGUAAAGCGCAUGCAGGUGGUUUGUUAAGUCAGAUGUGAAAGCCCGGGGCUCAACCUCGGAAUUGCAUUUGAAACUGGCAAACUAGAGUACUGUAGAGGGGGUAGAAUUUCAGGUGUAGCGGUGAAAUGCGUAGAGAUCUGAAGGAAUACCGGUGGCGAAGGCGGCCCCCCUGGACAGAUACUGACACUCAGAUGCGAAAGCGUGGGGAGCAAACAGGAUUAGAUACCCUGGUAG
Molecule: ribosomal RNA, 384 nt
Filed under: uncultured bacterium
Lineage: Bacteria
Description: bacterial SSU rRNA
Rfam family: Bacterial small subunit ribosomal RNA
Source: RNAcentral